AGUGAACGCUGGCGGUAGGCCUAACACAUGCAAGUCGAACGGCAGCACAGUAAGAGCUUGCUCUUACGGGUGGCGGGUGGCGGACGGGUGAGGAAUACAUCGGAAUCUACUUUUUCGUGGGGGAUAACGUAGGGAAACUUACGCUAAUACCGCAUACGACCUACGGGUGAAAGCAGGGGAUCUUCGGACCUUGCGCGAUUGAAUGAGCCGAUGUCGGAUUAGCUAGUUGGCGGGGUAGAGGCCCACCAAGGCGACGAUCCGUAGCUGGUCUGAGAGGAUGAUCAGCCACACUGGAACUGAGACACGGUCCAGACUCCUACGGGAGGCAGCAGUGGGGAAUAUUGGACAAUGGGCGCAAGCCUGAUCCAGCCAUACCGCGUGGGUGAAGAAGGCCUUCGGGUUGUAAAGCCCUUUUGUUGGGAAAGAAAAGCAGCAGGUUAAUACCCCGCUGUUCUGACGGUACCCAAAGAAUAAGCACCGGCUAACUUCGUG
Molecule: ribosomal RNA, 492 nt
Filed under: uncultured bacterium
Lineage: Bacteria
Description: partial 16S ribosomal RNA
Rfam family: Bacterial small subunit ribosomal RNA
Source: RNAcentral